Molecule: ribosomal RNA, 460 nt
Filed under: uncultured bacterium
Lineage: Bacteria
Description: partial 16S ribosomal RNA
Rfam family: Bacterial small subunit ribosomal RNA
Source: RNAcentral
CCUACGGGAGGCAGCAGUGAGGAAUAUUGGUCAAUGGGCGGAAGCCUGAACCAGCCAAGUAGCGUGCAGGAUGACGGCCCUACGGGUUGUAAACUGCUUUUAUACGGGAAUAACGCGCCUUACGUGUAGGGCUUUGCAUGUACCGGAUGAAUAGGGACCGGCUAAUUCCGUGCCAGCAGCCGCGGUAAUACGGAAGGUCCGGGCGUUAUCCGGAUUUAUUGGGUUUAAAGGGAGCGUAGGCCGGAUGUCAAGCCUGCGGUGAAAUGUCCGGGCUCAACCCGGGCCUUGCAGCGCGAACUGGCGUGCUUGAGUCCGCGGAAAGCAGGCGGAAUUCGGCGUGUAGCGGUGAAAUGCUUAGAUAUGACGAAGAACCCCGAUUGCGAAGGCAGCUUGCUGCAGCGGAACUGACGCUGAGGCUCGAAAGCGCGGGGAUCGAACAGGAUUAGAUACCCUAGUAGUC